GCAGUCGAACGGGCCUGAUUUCGGUCAGGCUAGUGGCGGACGGGUGAGUAACACGNGGGUGAUCUACCCCAAAGUCUGGGACAACUAGGGGAAACCUUAGCUAAUCCCGGAUGGUGAGGCUUCUCCUGUGAAGUCUCUAAAGAUUUAUCGCUUUGGGAUGAGCCCGCGGCGCAUCAGCUAGUUGGUGGGGUAAUGGCCUACCAAGGCGACGACGCGUAGCUGGUCUGAGAGGACGACCAGCCACAGGAGCACUGAGACACGGGCUCCACUCCUACGGGAGGCAGCAGUUAGGAAUCUUCGUCAAUGGGCGAAAGCCUGAACGAGCGACGCCGCUUGAGGGACGAAGCCCUUCGGGGUGUAAACCCCUGAACAGGGGACGAUGAUGACGGUACCCUGCUAAUAGCACCGGCUAACUCCGUGCCAGCAGCCGCGGUAAUACGGAGGGUGCGAGCGUUACCCGGAUUUACUGGGCGUAAAGGGCGUGUAGGCGGUUUUCUAAGUCCGGGGCUAAAGACCAGGGCUCAACCCUGGGUUUGCCUUGGAUACUGGAAAGCUCGACGGCUGGAGGGGGCAGCGGAAUUUCCGGAGUAGCGGUGAAAUGCGCAGAUACCGGAAGGAACGCCAAUAGCGAAGGCAGCUGCCUGGACAGUACGUGACGCUGANGCGCGAAAGCGUGGGGAGCAAACCGGAUUAGAUACCCGGGUAGUCCACGCCCUAAACGAUGAGUGCUGGGUGUCCGGCGUUUGCCGGGUGCCGAAGCUAACGCGUUAAGCACUCCGCCUGGGAAGUACGGUCGCNAGACUGAAACUCAAAGGAAUUGACGGGGGCCCGCACAAGCGGUGGANCAUGUGGUUUAAUUCGAANGAACGCGAANANCCUUACCA
This 884-nucleotide ribosomal RNA is filed under the name uncultured bacterium. RNAcentral describes it as "bacterial SSU rRNA". It matches the Rfam family "Bacterial small subunit ribosomal RNA", at positions 57 to 976 of the family's 1533-position model. The record is from RNAcentral.